This 513-nucleotide ribosomal RNA is filed under the name uncultured bacterium. RNAcentral describes it as "bacterial SSU rRNA". It matches the Rfam family "Bacterial small subunit ribosomal RNA", at positions 11 to 524 of the family's 1533-position model. The record is from RNAcentral.
GUUUGAUCCUGGCUCAGGAUGAACGCUGGCGGCGUGCCUAACACAUGCAAGUCGAACGGAGUUUAUAUUAUGAAGUCUUCGGAUGAAUUGAUAUAAACUUAGUGGCGGACGGGUGAGUAACGCGUGGGUAACCUGCCUCAUACAGGGGGAUAACAGCCGGAAACGGUUGCUAAAACCGCAUAAGCGCACAGCAGCGCAUGCUGCAGUGUGAAAAUAUUUUAUAGGUAUGAGAUGGGCCCGCGUCUGAUUAGCUAGUUGGUGAGGUAACUGCUCACCAAGGCGACGAUCAGUAGCCGGCUUGAGAGAGUGACCGGCCACAUUGGGACUGAGACACGGCCCAAACUCCUACGGGAGGCAGCAGUGGGGAAUAUUGCACAAUGGGGGAAACCCUGAUGCAGCGACGCCGCGUGAGUGAAGAAGUAUUUCGGUACGUAAAGCUCUAUCAGCAGGGAAGAAAAUGACGGUACCUGACUAAGAAGCCCCGGCUAACUACGUGCCAGCAGCCGCGGUAAU